Long non-coding RNA from Rhododendron vialii, 867 nucleotides. RefSeq lists it as uncharacterized. The record is from RefSeq and is a predicted model, not a curated record. The transcript has 7 exons. Lineage: Eukaryota; Viridiplantae; Streptophyta; Magnoliopsida; Ericales; Ericaceae.
GCAAAGUGAAUCUACUCUGGUAUUUGUAAAGCAGGUUCAAAGUUACGAAUUCCCAACGUUACCAUAGCCCCAAAUCAGCAAAACCCAAUUUCAUUCAGUUGUCUCCCUCCACUCCCUCCCCUUCCUCCACGGUUAAGGGAAAGAAGAAUUUCUGGGAUUUGCACGAGGAGAUGAACUGUCAGUUGGGGAAGACCAAGAAGAAGUUUUCUUUAUCCAAAUCAAAGCACGCGGUAUCUAAUCAUGCAGGGAAGCCCAUGAGUAAGUCUGCAAUGAUUGGGUUGCCUGUUGAAGUUAAGACACCUGCCAUGAUUCGAGCUGAGGAGAUCCAGUCCAGUUUGGGAUGUGAAUUUCCUAGCUUUGUAAAACCAUUGGUUCGAUCGCAUGUUUCGAGAUGUUUUUGGAUGGGGCUUCCUGUUCCCUUCAGCAAGUCGCACCUACCUAAAAAGGAUACCUCAGUAAUUUUGGAAGAUGAAAGUGGGGAACAGUUUCAUGUGAAAUACAUUAGUUUCAAGUGAAAUACAUUCAAGGAAGGUGGGCACUUAGUGGCAAGUGGAGAAGCUUUGCAAUGGGACACAAAUUGCUUGAGGGUGAUGUCUUGAUCUUUCAGUUAGUUGAACCAAACAAAAUGAAGGGCCAAUGGUUUGACUGAGGUAGAUGGUGCUCUUAGCCUUCUUAACCUUGAUGCUCACGUCAAACAAGAUGAUACAGAAAAGGACGAUGCAGAUAACGGAACAAUAGCUCUGGAUAAUAAGAAGAGGAAGCGUCCAAUCUCUCUUCCACUUGCUAUAGUCAAGAAGGCAAGCCUCCAAAAAUCAGUUCCUAAACUCACAGAAUCCGUUGUGCAACUUGAAAAUGGUUGUGAAGAGG